AUACUCUGGUUUCUCUUCAGAUCGUACAAAUCUUUCGCCUUUUACUAAAGAUUUCCAUGGAGAGAAACAACUCUGAGUCUUAACCCAAUUUUUAAAAGCCUUACACAUAGCAAGGUU
Molecule: small nuclear RNA, 117 nt
Filed under: Nannospalax galili (Upper Galilee mountains blind mole rat)
Lineage: Eukaryota; Metazoa; Chordata; Mammalia; Rodentia; Spalacidae
Description: U5 spliceosomal RNA (ENSNGAG00000003463.1)
Rfam family: U5 spliceosomal RNA
About the family: U5 RNA is a component of both types of known spliceosome. The precise function of this molecule is unknown, though it is known that the 5' loop is required for splice site selection and p220 binding, and that both the 3' stem-loop and the Sm site are important for Sm protein binding and cap methylation.
Source: Rfam by way of RNAcentral